GGGGGGGGGGGGGGGGGGGCGGAGGGCAGGCGGGUCGGGCGGGGGGGCCCUGCGGUGGUGGGGUGCUCGAGUGGCGGACGGGUGAGGGGCACGGGAGUAACCUGCCCUUGACUUUGGGAUGGCUUCAGGAAACUGGGGCUAAUACCGGAUCGGAGCUCCUGCUGCAUGGUGGGGGGUGGACAGUUUCGGCGGUUGGGGAUGGACUCGCGGCUUAUCAGCUUGUUGGUUGGGUAGUGGCUUACCAAGGCUUUGACGGGUAGCCGGCCUGAGAGGGUGACCGGCGACAUGGGGACUGCGAUACGGCCCAGACUCGUAUGGGAGGCAGCAGUGGGGAACAUGGCACAAUGGGCGGAAGUGGGAUGCAGCAACGCCGCGUGCGGGAUGACGGCCUUCGGGUUGUAAAACGCUGUCGCCUGUGACGAAGCGGGAGUGACGGUAAUGAGUAAAGAAGCACCGGCUAACUACGUG
Molecule: ribosomal RNA, 468 nt
Filed under: uncultured bacterium
Lineage: Bacteria
Description: partial 16S ribosomal RNA
Rfam family: Bacterial small subunit ribosomal RNA
Source: RNAcentral